This is a non-coding RNA of Mycena olivaceomarginata, 72 nucleotides long. The record is from the annotation of a GenBank genome assembly. NCBI's taxonomy places the organism in Eukaryota, Fungi, Basidiomycota, Agaricomycetes, Agaricales, Mycenaceae.
GGCACAAUAGCUCAGUGGUCUAGAGCACUAGACAUGAAUCCUGUGACCCGGGUUUGAUUCCUGGUUGAGCCA